This 219-nucleotide unclassified non-coding RNA is filed under the name Glomus sp. Its description in RNAcentral is "partial contains 5.8S ribosomal RNA and internal transcribed spacer 2". The stretch from base 1 to 71 matches the Rfam family "5.8S ribosomal RNA", at positions 84 to 154 of the family's 154-position model. Lineage: Eukaryota; Fungi; Glomeromycota; Glomeromycetes; Glomerales; Glomeraceae. The record is from RNAcentral.
GUGAAUCAUCAAAUUUUUGAACGCAAAUUGCACUCUCUGGUAUUCCGGAGAGUAUGCCUGUUUGAGGGUCAGUUUAAAUAAAAAUCGGUGGUUGCUGCCUUUCGUGGUGUCGCACCGGAUUUGUGUCUUCUUGUCUUCGCUUAAGUGACCUAAAAUUUUGCAUGUUUUUUUUUUCACGUAUUUAAAUGUUUUUAUGUACGUUUGCGAUAUCGAAUAUUA